RNAcentral lists this ribosomal RNA (505 nucleotides) under uncultured bacterium. RNAcentral's name for it is "partial 16S ribosomal RNA". It matches the Rfam family "Bacterial small subunit ribosomal RNA", at positions 28 to 507 of the family's 1533-position model. The record is from RNAcentral.
GACGAACGCUGGCGGCGUGCCUAAUACAUGCAAGUAGAACGCACAGUUUAUACCGUAGCUUGCUACACCAUAGACUGUGAGUUGCGAACGGGUGAGUAACGCGUAGGUAACCUGCCUGGUAGCGGGGGAUAACUAUUGGAAACGAUAGCUAAUACCGCAUAAUAUUAAUUAUUGCAUGAUAAUUAAUUGAAAGGUGCAAUUGCACCACUACCAGAUGGACCUGCGUUGUAUUAGCUAGUAGGUGAGGUAACGGCGCACCUAGGCGACGAUACAUAGCCGACCUGAGAGGGUGAUCGGCCCCACUGGGACUGAGACACGGCCCAGACUCCUACGGGAGGCAGCAGUAGGGAAUCUUCGGCAAUGGACGAAAGUCUGACCGAGCAACGCCGCGUGAGUGAAGAAGGUUUUCGGAUCGUAAAGCUCUGUUGUAAGAGAAGAACGGGUGUGAGAGUGGAAAGUUCACACUGUGACGGUAUCUUACCAGAAAGGGACGGCUAACUACGUG